CCUCCUCCCACCAUGCAGUUUACAUUUAUUUACAGAUAAGACUGGAGUCAUUCUGCACAUACUAGCCUAUUCUCAGCCUCUGCUUUUACUUCUCAGCUCCUGCCCAGAGCACAGUGUCCCUGUCCAUCAUACCCUGAAAAUGCCAAUCAGCAAUUUCGGUUUCAGGUUUGUCCCAGUUUUUGCUCCACAUCACUUGGAGUGUCCCUCAACUUCGGAGUACAUCAGAGUGCCUUAUUCAUUCAGGGUUAAAUGCCCAGCACUUAGCAUCGUACACUGUAUAGAGAUACACAGAUUGAAGAAAGUGUGAGUGAAUCUUUUAGCCUAACUGAAAAUAGGACUUGGGACGUGGCAUUCCAGAAUACUCGUUUAGGAUGGUGCUGGGUCUGGAGAAAUGACUCAGCACUUAAGAGCUCUGCUUGCUCUACCCAGAGCCUAGUGUCAGUUCCAAGUAUUCACAUGACAGCUCACAACAAUCUGUAACUCCAGUUAGAGAGUAUGAUGCCUACACCUGGCCUCCAUAGGACUGUAUGCACCUGCCUACACCUGGCCUCCAUAGGACUGUAUGCACCUGCCUACAUCUGGCCUCCAUAGGACGGUAUGCACCUGCCUACACCUGGCCUCCAUAGGAUGGUAUGUACCUGCUACACAGACACAUGCAUAGUUUUUUAAAGAUAAUUUUAUUUUUCCAUGUUAAAGAUGAAAAUCCACAUAUCCGAAAUGGUUCGUCUUAUACCAGGAUAAAUAGUAACAUCAAGCAAUAGCAUAGCCAAUCCUCAAGAAUUAUACUGAGUUCAGACUGUAACUCAGUAGCUGAGCCUUUGCCUAGCAUAUAUGAGGUCUAGGUUUAUUUUGCUGUACCACCCAAAAGUUGUACUGAUAAAUAAACAGUAUACUGUAAUGUAAAUUUAAAAUGGAAAAAUAUAUUUACUAGUUUCAGGCAUUAUAGUACAGAAAGAAACUACACAAAACUGGAUAGAAACAGUUUAAUAAAUACUUAACCUACA
Molecule: long non-coding RNA, 1004 nt
Filed under: Rattus norvegicus (Norway rat)
Lineage: Eukaryota; Metazoa; Chordata; Mammalia; Rodentia; Muridae
Description: long non-coding RNA NONRATT012494
Source: RNAcentral